Molecule: ribosomal RNA, 253 nt
Filed under: uncultured bacterium
Lineage: Bacteria
Description: partial 16S ribosomal RNA
Rfam family: Bacterial small subunit ribosomal RNA
Source: RNAcentral
UACGUAGGGUGCAAGCGUUACUCGGAAUUACUGGGCGUAAAGCGUGCGCAGGCGGUUUUGUAAGUCUGUCGUGAAAUCCCCGGGCUCAACCUGGGAAUUGCGAUGGAGACUGCAAGGCUAGAAUCUGGCAGAGGGGGGUAGAAUUCCACGUGUAGCAGUGAAAUGCGUAGAGAUGUGGAGGAACACCGAUGGCGAAGGCAGCUCGCUGGGACGGUACUGACGCUGAGGCGCGAAAGCGUGGGGAGCAAACAGG